GUCCACGCCGUCAACGAUGAUAACUAGAUGUUGGGGAGUUUACUCCUUAGUAUCGAAGCUAACGCGUUAAGUUAUCCGCCUGGGGAGUACGGCCGCAAGGUUAAAACUCAAAGGAAUUGACGGGGGCCCGCACAAGCGGUGGAGCAUGCGGUUUAAUUCGAUGCAACGCGAAGAACCUUACCUACUCUUGACAUCCUCGGAAUCUUCUGGAAACAGAUGAGUGCCUUCGGGAACCGAGAGACAGGUGCUGCAUGGCUGUCGU
This 262-nucleotide ribosomal RNA is filed under the name uncultured bacterium. Its description in RNAcentral is "partial 16S ribosomal RNA". It matches the Rfam family "Bacterial small subunit ribosomal RNA", at positions 793 to 1055 of the family's 1533-position model. The record is from RNAcentral.